This is a long non-coding RNA of Cercocebus atys (sooty mangabey), 4939 nucleotides long. RefSeq lists it as uncharacterized. The transcript has 3 exons. The record is from RefSeq and is a predicted model, not a curated record. NCBI's taxonomy places the organism in Eukaryota, Metazoa, Chordata, Mammalia, Primates, Cercopithecidae.
UUCUGACCUCAGGUGAUCCACCUGCCUCGGCCUCCCAAAGAGCUGGGAUUACAGGCGUGAGCCACCGCACCCCGCCCAACAUGUCUGUAUUCUUAAGGCUGUGAAAGUGUCUUUACUAUUUUGUUCUCUUAGGUGAGAAUCCGGUCCUCACCCUACACUUUAUUCCUCAGGUGAAGAGACUGUGUGUAUGUGUGUCCAUUCAGGGAAGCAUGAGGGCAUUUGAAUUCAGCUGAGCAGAUUUAGUCAUCUAGGAGCUGCUCCGUUAAGUGUUUAACACAAUACUUAACAAAACAAAACUAGCAGGAAAUUAAUCUGGAAUUUCCCAGUAACUACAUGUUUUAGAUAAGUUUUUGAAUUGAGUCCAAGAUGAUGUGAUAGUGCAUGUUCAUAAUUAACUAAGAAACUGGGAAAAGCUUUCUUAAUCUAAAAACAAAGCCAAAAAUCUUUCCAUGCAAGGAAAGAAAAUCUUAAUUGAUUAACUCAUUAAUAGAGCAGGGAAAAGAAAACAAAAGCAAAAGCGAAAAAACUAACUUGAGAUCUGGCUGAACUCAUAAUGUGUAUUUGUUUUAUUUCCAGUUGCUGCUUACCCUCAUUAGCUGUGCAAGACCGAAGGAUUUUGUGCUUUCUCUUGCCUGGCAAUUGUUCAGUCCAAAAUUUAGCCAUGUUGUUUUUGUGUUAUUAUCAGGAGCAAGAGGACAUGUGUAUUGGUGACAGAAGAGGGGUGAGAGGGCAGGGAUGAGAUGAAUCUGAUUAACUUCAGGGCUUAUUAGAAUAAAUCUUGUAGGCUUGAAGAAUCUAGAGAAUCUUGUAUGCUUGAAGAAUCUUGUAGGCUUGGAGAAUCUAGAGAAUCUUGUAGGCUUGAAGAAUCUUGUAGGCUUGAAGAAUCUUGUAGGCUUGGAGACUCUAGAGUUCUCUGAGAAAUGGUAAACAGACUUUAUAAACCCUGGCUGUGUUGCUGCUAUAAUCUUCCCCUGACAUAAUCCCAAGAAAUAGAAACAAAUAGAAAUAGAAAUCUAAUAGAAAUAGAACUAUUUCCCAAGAAAUAGAAAGUAAAACUGACAAAGCCAAUGGAAAGAAAUCAGUUUGGAAGCUGUUAAUUUUCACGGGAUCUGUGUUCAGUAACUGCCCUCUAUCGGCUCCCCUGAAUAGCACACUAUAGAGGAUGGAGAAUCUGAAAGGCCUUUUUGCUGGUUUUCUUACGAACAGAGAGUUCAUAAGCCGGGACCUUCUUCAGCCUCCAAGGUAAAGAAAUUUGUGAUCUCCAAGCUCCCUCUUGUAUGUAUUGUGAACGCCUCUGUCAGAAGAGAAACACCAAAGCUACUCACCUGGAAAUGUUGCAGUAUGAAGGCCAGGUGCAUGUGGGAACCUGAUUCCCUUUGGUAGGUGUGGAGAAACAUUCAUUGGUCCGGUCCACAGAAACGCUUGUUUGGCUCCCUGACGAUUGGUGAGUUGUCUGUGUAUUGUCCGGGGUAACUACGGGUCACACAGAGUCUAAACGUUAUGCUUAUCUCUGCUAUAUUAAACUCCUGUUAAAACAGGGGGGAGUUCAAGUGCCCAUGGAAAAUAUGGUCACCCUAUUCAGUGACCAUAUUCAGUGACUGUCCUUGGCUUCCUGAGAGGGGAAUGUUAGAUGUGGAACUAUGGGAUCGUGUUGGUGCAAAACUCCAGGAACUGGUCCCGACAGGAAAUUAUGUUCCCGUCACUGUUUAGGGUGAUUGGGCCUUGGUACAUGCCAUCCUAAUGCCAUACCAAUCUUGUGACCCCUGCAGUUACCACAAUUUUUUGAAUCUGGUGACCCUCUACCUCUUCCUCAGCUUUCCUCUCCCACUCAGCCUGUUAUCUGCUCAGCCUUUCCCUUCGCCUGCUCCUCCCUCACCUGACAAUACUGAGGAUUCAAUAUCUAACUCCGGUGACUUUGGCUUAACGUCACCCCUGGAUGACCUUAUUUAUUUUCACAAAGAGCUGGUACUUGUAGCUCCCACGGCCCUGACUCGGACAGCCAGGGACCAUAUCUAUGCUAACUCUUCACUCUUCAAACCUUUGCAGCCUUUGCCUCCGGAGCCAUCUAAUGGCUCUGGGACCAAACUACAAUUUACCUGUAAUUCUGCAGGCCCUCCCCAGUCCACCACAGCCCCUCACCCUCCUGUCAUUUCAGUCCCUCCACCGGUCACUUUGCCAUCCACUCUACCUUCUUCUCUGUACCCUUCUUCACGCAUGGACACCCCUGCCACUCUGGUUGCACAGGAUUGGGACAAUAAUUACCAGUAUGCUUCUGCCUCUGCCUCUUCUGCUCCCCCAAUGCCCCUUUCUCACGCUCUCAUACUGGUCUGACCGCCUCAACCUCAGUUUCCCUUAUCCACACAUACUUUUCCUGUCACUUCUAUGCCAACUCCGUCUCAUGUGCCUGUUCUUGAAACUUCCAUGCAAUGCUUAUUACGCCAGAACAAAGAAACAAGUGGAUCAGAGGUGUGGGUUUAUCCAGUUGCACUAGAACCUCCCAAUGCUCAACGGAUACAAGUGCGUCGAUAUGCGCCGUUCAAUCUUACCUUUAUAAAAUAAUUCAAGGAUGCUUGUACUCAGUAUGUUCCUACUUCUCCAUAUGUUAAAAUGGUAUUACAGACUCUGCACUGAGAUUGUUUUGCUUCCUUUAGACUGGGAUCUUUCGGCAAAAGCUCUUCUAACUCCAUCUCAGCAUUUACAAUUUUGUACCUGAUGGUCAGAGGAGGCGUGUCUGCAGGCUCAGCUAAAUCGGGCUGAUGGCAUUCCAAUUACUCAGGCUCAGCUCACAGACUCCAAUAAUUACUUUGACACUACCGCCCAAUUAGGCUUUGAUGCUUUCACCACAGAACAAGUAACAAAGGCGUGUAGGCGAGCUUGGGAUAAAUUACAGACCAAGCUCCUGUUUCCUUUACUACUGUUAAACAGGGUCACAAUGAACUGUGACUUUUUGGCUAAAUUACAAGAUGCUGUUGAAAAAUCUGUCUCUGAUGAGCGUGCUCAAGGUAUUCUCCUUCAUAUGUUAGCUUUUGAGAAUGUGAACCAUGAGUGUAAAAUGGUCAUGCGCUCCAUCCAACGACAAAAUUUACCUGAUCAUGAGGUGUUGCCUGCAUAUAUUAAAGCUUAUGAAGGCACUGGAUCGGAGACCCACAAAGCUAUUCUGUGGGCAUGGGCCACGAAGGACGGCAACCAAACUGGCUCAACUGAUUCUUUUCUUGGAGCGUGCUAUAAUUGUGGUCAACUUGGUCAUGCUCGAAAAAAUUGCAGUGUUAAAAACUUAAAGGCGGGCAAGCCGGCUCAACAAACAUGGCCAAAUGCUCCUGCUACUGUUUGCCCUCGUUGUCCUAAAGGUAAACAUUGGGUAAGCACCUGCUGCUCUAAGUCUGAUAUAAAACUAAAGUUAUCACAGUUCAUACUGGUCUCAUUAAUUCUGAUUCCUUCGAUGAGAUUAAACUUAUGGUGUCUGCCAAGGUUCCUGUUUCCAUUCCAGCUGAUGAGUCAAUUGCUCAAUUACUUUUACUACCUAAUAUUGUUUUAAACAAAGGAGAUAAGACACAGGUCCCUGGGAUGGGCUCCGGCAGUAAAAAAAAGUCGCUUAUUGGAUUAAUAUAAUUUCUAAAAUUCUCCCUAAAUGAAGGCAAGCCAGGGUUAUGGAAAAACGCCCAGACCAAUACCUGAGAACUUGGAACAAUUAUAACGUGGGGAAGAGGGUAUGCUUGUGUUUCACUAGGAGAUCAUCAGUCCCCUGUCUGGGUGCCCACUAGGAGACUUAAACUUCGUGUGAAUACUGACAACGAAAACCACAGGGAAGAGACGCUCACAUCAGAGACCGCCCUCAUACCUGGUGAGAUUUGUGCCAACUCCUCAAAAACUGGCAUGCCAAAUCAAAAUGGGUCUGGUUCGAUACUCCCUAAUGGCAACGGAGACCCCUCUAACUAAUCCCACUUCUCUUAAUUCCCUUUCUUUUUCUCCUUAUGAACCUAAAACUCUCACCAUUUCUAUUAGCCUGAAAAUAACAUUCCCCUCUUCUUCUCUUUCUCCUUCAGCAAUGGAUCUUGCUUACAAUAGGUUUCAUUUAAUAAUUCUCCUCCUUGUACUUUCUGUCUCACUAUUUUCCCCUCAAACUGAUUUACCUGCUACACAAAAUUAUUCUUAUUGGGCUUAUGUGCUUUUCCUCCACUUAUUCGACCUCUCACCUGGAUGGAUGCUCCUGUGAAAAUCUAUACUAAUGAUAGUGUGUGGAUGCCUGGAGCUACAGAUGACCGUUGCCCUGCUCAACCAGGAGAAGAAGGCACUGCAUUUAAUGUUACUAUGGGUUAUAAAUACCCUCCUCUGUGCCUCGGACAUGCACCUGGUUGUAUCCAUCUAGAAACCCAAGUCUGGGCUGCUUAACUUCCUGAGAGAUGGGGAACGGGGACAUUUGGUCUCCAGCCUCUCCCUUUCUCCUUUAAGACAAAUGAAAAGGGGAAUAAUAGGAGAUACCUCAUACUUUCAAAUAUGAAUCUGUAGGAAAACCAUGUCCUAAAAAUUUUGAGGGCCCAUCUAAAACUUUAAUUUGGGAAGACUGUGUUAACUCACAUGCAGUAGUAUUAAAAAAUGACUCAUAUGGUUUAGUAAUAGACUGGGCACCAAAGGGCUAUUUGAAAAACAAUUGCUCCUCUGGCAGAUAGGAAUGCCUGGAGGCUACUUAUUUUAUUUUUUAUAGGGAGGACGAGGAUCAUCAUCCUACUUUGCAUAGGAGGUUCAGCUCAUUCUUUUCCUUAAAAUGGGAAGAUAAGGGCAUUACUCCCCCGAGGCCUCGUAUGAUAUUCCCCAUUCUGAGCCCAGAACACCCAGAACUUUGGAAACUGGCUAUGUGAUCUACUUCCUGUUCUUACACCCCCUCCUCUUUUGAAACUCUUAAUAAAAAACUUGCUGGUUUGAGGCUCAGGUGGGUAUCAUG